UCGCCUGUUUUACAAAAACAUCGCCUCUUGACUAUAUAAGAGGUCCAGCCUGCCCAGUGACAAGUUUAACGGCCGCGGUACCCUAACCGUGCAAAGGUAGCAUAAUCACUUGUUCUUUAAAUAAGGACUAGUAUGAACGGCAUCACGAAGACUAUACUGUCUCCCCCCUAUAAUCAGUGAAACUGAUCUCCCCGUGAAGAAGCGGGGAUACACUUAUAAGACGAGAAGACCCCAUGGAGCUUAAAACUUAAGUUUCACCUGCCCCUUACUACAUCAUAAUAAUCCAGCAGGCAUGACUACUAGUUUUCGGUUGGGGUGACCACGGAGUAAAACCCAACCUCCACAAUGAACGGAACUAAACUCCUAACUUAAGAGCUACAACUCAAAAAAUUAAAAUACUAACAUACUUGACCCAAAUAUUGAUCAAUGAACCAAGUUACCCUGGGGAUAACAGCGCAAUCCAUUUUAAGAGCUCCUAUCGACAAAUGGGUUUACGACCUCGAUGUUGGAUCAGGGUGUCCUAGUGGUGCAGCCGCUACUAAAGGUUCGUUUGUUCAACGAUUAAAACCCUACGUGAUCUGAUUCCAGACCGG
This 593-nucleotide ribosomal RNA is filed under the name Mesobatrachia sp. A38. RNAcentral describes it as "partial 16S ribosomal RNA". It matches the Rfam family "Bacterial large subunit ribosomal RNA", at positions 1796 to 2619 of the family's 2925-position model. Lineage: Eukaryota; Metazoa; Chordata; Amphibia; Anura. The record is from RNAcentral. RNAcentral also lists the same sequence under 2 other names.